UGGCUUUUCUGCUCUAUGGGCCAUCCAAG
This 29-nucleotide non-coding RNA is filed under the name Rattus norvegicus (Norway rat). The record is from RNAcentral. Lineage: Eukaryota; Metazoa; Chordata; Mammalia; Rodentia; Muridae.